AUGGUGCCAAGAGAUAUGCAUGUCCUGAGUCAGCCGAUAAUGCAAGUUGUGGGUGAUCUGAACCUGGGUAUUGUGGAACGGGGACUAGUUACCUGUUCUAUGGCCGCACAUUCAUUUAUGAGCAUACAACAAAUGGGCGCUCUAAGCACAGGAUGUUCUAACAAUAUUUUUGUUCACUUCAUGCUAAGUGCGCAAUAUGAACUAGGCUGUGUUGCUGUUAUUUACUUGCUUGAGGACUUUUUUAGCCCAGUUAACCUUGAGUGGCGACCGGAAAGGCCACUGCUAGUAAAAGCUAAUUCCAGCAAGUUGUGUUCAUUCGGGAAGUGUGAUUCAUAUUCCACAUUAUGCUUGUUCCCUUGGAAUCCAGGGGAUUAUUUGCUCAGAAUAACCAUGGGGUUUCUUACUGCUAGCAGUGGUUCACAAUGGCAUGUUAAGUGUAUCAUUGCGCAGUCCGGUCAGUGCUUCUCACGGAUUGUAAAAAUCGAGUGGUUGUUUCCUAUUUGUCCGAAGAUGAUGACAUGGUGCUUGGUUUUACUAUCUCCUGCUAACAAUGAUUAUGAGCUGUGGCGUCGACCAGAUCAAACAAAAAAUGUGGUUUGCUUGGGAAGUUCAGAAUAUUGCAUAUUUUUCUAG
This 633-nucleotide ribosomal RNA is filed under the name Triticum aestivum (bread wheat). RNAcentral's name for it is "partial small subunit ribosomal RNA". The record is from RNAcentral. Lineage: Eukaryota; Viridiplantae; Streptophyta; Magnoliopsida; Poales; Poaceae.